This 468-nucleotide ribosomal RNA is filed under the name uncultured bacterium. Its description in RNAcentral is "partial 16S ribosomal RNA". It matches the Rfam family "Bacterial small subunit ribosomal RNA", at positions 28 to 507 of the family's 1533-position model. The record is from RNAcentral.
GAUGAACGCUGGCGGCGUGCUUAACACAUGCAAGUCGAGCGAACAGGCCAUGAUUUUGUGGGGUGCUCGAUUGGGGCGCGGGUGAGUAACACGUGAGUAAACUGCCCUUAUCUGUCUGGUAACAUCUGGGGACUGGGGAUCAUAUCGGAUAGGAGCUCCUGCAGCAUAUUGGGCGUUGGAGAGUUUCGGCGGUUUGGGCUGGACUCGCGGCUUAUCCGCUUGUUGGUGGGGUAGUGGCUUACCAAGGCUUUGACGGGUAGGCGGCCUGAGAGGGUUACCGGCCACAAUGGGACUGAGGGACGGAGCAGACUGCUACGUGAGGCAGCAGGGGGGAAUAUUGCACAGUGGGCGGAAGCCUGAUGCAGCAACGUCGCGUGCGGGAUGCCGGCCUACGGGUGGUAAACCGCUUUCGCCUGUGACGAAGCGUGAGUGACGGUAAUUGGUAAAGAAGCACCGGCUAACUACGUG